This 417-nucleotide long non-coding RNA is filed under the name Carica papaya (papaya). RNAcentral's name for it is "long non-coding RNA (CPAP_LNC013577)". The record is from RNAcentral. Lineage: Eukaryota; Viridiplantae; Streptophyta; Magnoliopsida; Brassicales; Caricaceae.
AUCGAGGUAAAUUUCAUACCCCCGACUCGUUUUUCUCCGCUGAUUCCUCCUAUGGCCAAAUUGAGGCCGAAAUCCUGGCCAAACGGCCGGAAUACGCGGCCGAAACCUAGCGGCGCCGCCGCGCCCCUCUCGGUUUUUGCCUCCGACGAGGUCCUUCCCGGCCUCCGUUCGAUGCAAUUUUUAUAUCACCGUGAUCACCAUUCUUUUCUCUACAGGUUGACCGAAGCCGAAUCACCAAAACACGAACCUCGCCGGAGAGCCGCCGUACCCGAGAGCGCCGCCGCCGGAAAGCUCCGCUUUUCUGUGAUUUUUGGCCCCCCCGGGGGCCCUAGGGUUGUUUUCUGACAAGGACCAAUGCGAGUGUGGCCGAAUUCGGCCGAAAACGGCCGAAAACAGCCAACCCGAGGCGACUCGCCG